Molecule: long non-coding RNA, 2884 nt
Filed under: Pomacea canaliculata
Lineage: Eukaryota; Metazoa; Mollusca; Gastropoda; Architaenioglossa; Ampullariidae
Description: uncharacterized LOC112566707, transcript variant X2
Source: RNAcentral
AAGACGGCAAUCGAAAAAUGAUUGCAUCCUAUAAAAUAUGGAGUGACGUGCGUUUUAAGUGUAAUGGUUAUCAGUUGCCUUAAAAUGCCUUGGAUAUGUUUAGUCUAGCGAGCACCUUACUAUAGUGCACACGAGACUAAACAAAUCAGAUCUUUAUUUGAGCUUGAAAGCCCGCAGGAAGAAGGACAUGCAUUAAGCAUAUGGAGCGUGGAUGUGAAGACGUGCUGUUUACUUUCACACAAAUCAUAUAACGUGCUUACCGUGUAUUCUUUACUUGGGAAUAACGAUACUAUAAAGGCAUUUAUGUGUAAUGUUGCAUUGACAUUUGACUUCAGUUCUCGAGACUUCUUUGAAGCAAUGUUGUUGUUUCAUUAGGUGAACACGCAGACAGAUCUGAACCCGAUCAGCAUUCUAGGGCUCCCUUUGAAGAACAAUUUGCAGUUUUUAUAGUUUCUUGUUUUCACUUGUUCCGUUGCUUCUAUUGACAUCACUCUGAAGUAUUUGUUUUUGAAAGCAGAACAAGAUAAAAGAACUCAAAUCGGUGAAUGAAAAAAAUCGCUUAGUUUAUUUUAUCUUUUUCAUUCGUCCAGAUAAACAAAUGCUUCAAUAGAACUUUUUUCUUAUUGAUGGAUAUGGCUCUAUCACAUCAACAUUUCAAGAUGACACUGAAAAUGUUUAGGUAAUAGACAAUCCUCACCUGGUCAGGGCAAAAAAUCUCAAACAGAUCGGCCCACAAGAGGUAUAACAGACAAGGAGCAACUCGAGCUAUAACCGAUAACAAAAAAUCAACAGGUCGACCCACAAUAACAGACAAGCUACAGGUCAGCCCACAAUAAAUAACAAGCACACAAAGGCCCACAGUGUUAUAGAGCUGAGAGCAUUGUUGGCUUGUGGACCAGCGCUAUGCUUCUAUUCCACACAUGCUUUCCCUAAAGUGGAUAUUGGUCAACACAGCUGAUUUCCAAGUGCUUCGGUCGUUCGUCACGCCAAGAAAACCUAUGAUUUUAAAGGCUUGACCCGAGUCUAAAACUGGUCACAUUUAGCCGCACUCGAGUAUACCUUUCCCUUACUCGGCUUGUUAGUUUAAUCCUCAUUAUCAAGGAACGCUUUCUUAUCGUGGGCGUUCAAACCUCUCCGUGAAAUUGCCUCCUGGAUCGGGUAGCACACGCUCGCGCGGGGAGGGAAGGGAAAAGAGGUGGUGCAGGCGUGAUGGUGGUGGCGGCGGAUUAAUGCAGUGUUUAUUGCCAAGGUAAUCAAGGCGGGCGGCGUGUUUGCCCCUCGUGGAGCGUACUCCACGCAGCAUACGUCAGCCCAUCGAUCAGCCCGCGUGUGGUCACCUCUAAAGGGGCGUGCAGGCCAGCACGAGGCUCGCGUUCUCGCAUUCUCGCGUUUCCGCUCUCGUCGCGCCUGGCAUGUCGGGACACUUGGUGACAAAGCGCGCUGACGUCAGCCUAUGGUAACCGACACCGUCGUUCUUCUCGUCUGCACGGCAGGCGGCAACCGGUUGAAUGUCAUUUGAAAAGGUAAUUUAGAUCCACGGGCCUGUCACUGCGCAAUAUCGCCGAAGCUGGGUCGGUUCGAAUAUAUGCUGUGAAUCAAGAGACAAGGACGGUCUGGAAUGGAGCCACGCAGCUAGCACCCUUCACCACUCACGCCUGAAAUGCAAAAGUAUGGCGCAAGCUUAGUUUAUACAAACGGUUCUACUGUGCGGCCAGCAUGGCAAAGUGACUCAACACUUCUGGUCAGUGUCCACACACCUCCAUCCCACGGGGCAGCUGUCAGCGGAAGUUUGACCGAACCAGCGGCACAUUUUGGUGGGAGUAGUUCCCCUGACGUCAUGCCUCGCAACAAGAUUAAACGUGGCAUUAAAAGAGGACGGCAGCAACGAUACUUCAAAUGUUUGUGAUCUUAGCUGGAGGUCGGAGUCACCCAGGGAUGAUUUAUGCUGCAGAAGUUUGAGGUGGUGAGUAGUAGUAGAUGGAGAAGCAGAAUCUGGCGAUCGUGAACAAAACGAUCACGAGCAACACAAUAACUUUCCAUUUAAAAAGUUGAAAGAAGUUAAUUGCAAGCUAUGAAGAAUGGACUGUUCAGACCUAUUGACCUAGACUGAGUAUUGAAGGAGCGUUCCUUCAUGUUUCCUUCUUUGUUUAUUGUUUCAAACUGUAGCAGGCAUUUACUGUUCUACCCGUCGAUCCGAUCAAAACAUGGGUCUAAGAUCUUUACAAUUAAAAUUUCUUCAAAGGACACGGCAACUUUUAGACAGUUUUUUGGUUAAAAAGGGAUUCCGUUAUAUUAAACAGCCAUUUACAUUCCUAGAAUUCAAAUGAAAAUAAGAAAGCCAUCCAACGUGCAGAUGCCAGAUACAGGAUGGUUAUCAACGGGACAGGCUUGCGGUCUCUCAAUGUCGAGUCUUACUACUGAAGUAUCGUCUGCACGGAUCACACUUAUCUGCAUCUUGCGCGCCUAUUAAAUAUUUGCACCUCACCAUUUAUCGUCCUUAUCAUAUAGGGAACAUUAAAUGUGCAGUUUGAAAAGGAUGUUUGAACAAUUUCUUCAUAUCUUUUGAAAUAUCUAGCUUCUAGCUAGGCGACUGUUGUAUGACAUGUGAUUCAGGGGGGAAGGCAUGAAAACAUUUCAAAACACUAAGAAUAGAAUAAGGACGCAGAAGACGACUUUCAUUGCAUCCUUCAGUAUAACAAAUUUGUUAAACAUUUCAACAAAUAUACGUUCCAAAAGCUUCUCUGUGCAAAAAGUAAUAUAAAAUGUUGUAUAAAAUGUCAAUUCCUUGCACUACUGCUUGAAAGUAUAUCCUAAAAUGGCCAGCCUGCUUCUUCCUUACAUACCUCACUCAUCAUUCACACUCAAAGUCAGGAUUUAAACGUUC